CUACGGGAUGCAGCAGUGGGGAAUAUUGGGCAAUGGGCGCAAUCCUGACCCAGCAACGCCGCGUGAGGGAAGAAGGUUUUCGGAUUGUAAACCUCUGUCCUUGGGGACGAAGAAGUGACGGUACCCAAGGAGGAAGCUCCGGCUAACUACGUGCCAGCAGCCGCGGUAAUACGUAGGGAGCAAGCGUUGUCCGGAAUUACUGGGCGUAAAGGGUGCGUAGGCGGCAUAUUAAGUCAGGUGUGAAAUACUCGGGCUCAACCCGGGGGCUGCAUUUGAAACUGAUAUGCUUGAGUGUGAGAGAGGAAAGUGGAAUUCCUAGUGUAGCGGUGGAAUGCGUAGAUAUUAGGAGGAACACCAGUGGCGAAGGCGACUCUCUGGCUCAUAACUGACGCUGAGGCACGAAAGCGUGGGGAGCAAACAGGAUCAGAUACCCCAGUAGUC
Molecule: ribosomal RNA, 441 nt
Filed under: uncultured bacterium
Lineage: Bacteria
Description: partial 16S ribosomal RNA
Rfam family: Bacterial small subunit ribosomal RNA
Source: RNAcentral